GGGUUUUUGAUGGAGGGUUUGAUCCUGGCUCAGGACGAACGCUGGCGGCGUGCUUAACACAUGCAAGUCGAACGGUAAGGCUCCAGCUUGCUGGGGUACACGAGUGGCGAACGGGUGAGUAACACGUGGGUGACCUGCCCUGCACUUCGGGAUAAGCCUGGGAAACUGGGUCUAAUACCGGAUAGGACCGCACCGUGAGGGUGUGGUGGAAAGUUUUUUCGGUGUGGGAUGGGCCCGCGGCCUAUCAGCUUGUUGGUGGGGUAAUGGCCUACCAAGGCGGCGACGGGUAGCCGGCCUGAGAGGGUGGACGGCCACAUUGGGACUGAGACACGGCCCAGACUCCUACGGGAGGCAGCAGUGGGGAAUAUUGCACAAUGGGCGGAAGCCUGAUGCAGCGACGCCGCGUGGGGGAUGACGGCCUUCGGGUUGUAAACUCCUUUCACCAUCGACGAAGGGUUUCUGACGGUAGAUGGAGAAGAAGCACCGGCUAACUACGUGCCAGCAGCCGCGGUAAUACGUAGGGUGCGAGCGUUGUCCGGAAUUACUGGGCGUAAAGAGCUCGUAGGUGGUUUGUCGCGUCGUCUGUGAAAUUCCGGGGCUUAACUCCGGGCGUGCAGGCGAUACGGGCAUAACUUGAGUACUGUAGGGGAGACUGGAAUUCCUGGUGUAGCGGUGAAAUGCGCAGAUAUCAGGAGGAACACCGGUGGCGAAGGCGGGUCUCUGGGCAGUAACUGACGCUGAGGAGCGAAAGCAUGGGGAGCGAACAGGAUUAGAUACCCUGGUAGUCCAUGCCGUAAACGGUGGGCGCUAGGUGUGGGUUUCCUUCCACGGGAUCCGUGCCGUAGCUAACGCAUUAAGCGCCCCGCCUGGGGAGUACGGCCGCAAGGCUAAAACUCAAAGGAAUUGACGGGGGCCCGCACAAGCGGCGGAGCAUGUGGAUUAAUUCGAUGCAACGCGAAGAACCUUACCUGGGCUUGACAUAUACAGGAUCGCGCCAGAGAUGGUGUUUCCCUUGUGGCUUGUAUACAGGUGGUGCAUGGUUGUCGUCAGCUCGUGUCGUGAGAUGUUGGGUUAAGUCCCGCAACGAGCGCAACCCUUGUCUUAUGUUGCCAGCACGUUGUGGUGGGGACUCGUAAGAAACUGCCGGGGUUAACUCGGAGGAAGGUGGGGAUGACGUCAAAUCAUCAUGCCCCUUAUGUCCAGGGCUUCACACAUGCUACAAUGGUCGGUACAGUGGGUUGCCAGUCCGUGAGGGCGAGCUAAUCCCGCAAAGCCGGUCUCAGUUCGGAUCGGGGUCUGCAACUCGACCCCGUGAAGUCGGAGUCGCUAGUAAUCGCAGAUCAGCAACGCUGCGGUGAAUACGUUCCCGGGCCUUGUACACACCGCCCGUCACGUCAUGAAAGUCGGUAACACCCGAAGCCAGUGGCCUAACACAUUUUUGUGGGGGAGCUGUCGAAGGUGGGAUUGGCGAUUGGGACGAAGUCGUAACAAGGUAGCCGUACCGGAAGGUGCGGCUGGAUCACCUCCUUUCUAAGGAGA
This 1539-nucleotide ribosomal RNA is filed under the name Corynebacterium sp. HMSC055G02. RNAcentral describes it as "16S ribosomal RNA". It matches the Rfam family "Bacterial small subunit ribosomal RNA". Lineage: Bacteria; Bacillati; Actinomycetota; Actinomycetes; Mycobacteriales; Corynebacteriaceae. The record is from RNAcentral. RNAcentral also lists the same sequence under 3 other names.